Molecule: transfer RNA, 79 nt
Filed under: Flavonifractor sp. An9
Lineage: Bacteria; Bacillati; Bacillota; Clostridia; Eubacteriales; Oscillospiraceae
Description: tRNA-OTHER
Source: RNAcentral
GAAGUGUAUAAUUGGACAACCGACUCGAAAUCAGUUUGCGGGCAACCGCACGAGGGUUCGAAUCCCUCCCGCUGCGCCA